AUACGGAAGGUCCGGGCGUUAUCCGGAUUUAUUGGGUUUAAAGGGAGCGCAGGCGGAGAUGCAAGCGUGACGUCAAAUUUCGGGGCUCAACCCCGUCUCGCGUCGCGAACUGCGUCCCUUGGUUGCGGGAAGGGGAGGCGGAACUCGUGGUGUAGCGGUGAAAUGCAUAGAUAUCACGAAGAACUCCGAUCGCGAAGGCAGCCUCCCGGCCCGUCAACGACGCUCAUGCUCGAAGGUGCGGGUAUCAAACAGGAUUAGAUACCCUGGUAGUCCGCACAGUAAACGAUGGACACCCGCGGUUUGGCCUAUAUGGCUGAGCCGCCAAGCGAAAGCGUUAAGUGUCCCACCUGGGGAGUACGCCGGCAACGGUGAAACUCAAAUGAAUUGGCGGGG
RNAcentral lists this ribosomal RNA (393 nucleotides) under uncultured bacterium. RNAcentral's name for it is "partial 16S ribosomal RNA". It matches the Rfam family "Bacterial small subunit ribosomal RNA", at positions 523 to 918 of the family's 1533-position model. The record is from RNAcentral.